Molecule: transfer RNA, 73 nt
Filed under: Bos taurus (domestic cattle)
Lineage: Eukaryota; Metazoa; Chordata; Mammalia; Artiodactyla; Bovidae
Also listed under: 2 other names
Rfam family: tRNA
About the family: Transfer RNA (tRNA) molecules are approximately 80 nucleotides in length.
Source: Rfam by way of RNAcentral
UCCCUGGCAGUCUAGUGGUUAAGACUCUGCACUCCCAGUACAGGGGGCCCGGGUUCGAUCCCUGAUCAGGGAA